AUUGAACGCUGGCGGCAUGCCUUACACAUGCAAGUCGAACGGUAACAGGUUUUCGGAUGCUGCCGAGUGGCGAACGGGUGCGUAAUACAUCGGAACGUGCCCAGACGUGGGGGAUAACGAGGGGAAAGCUUUGCUAAUACCGCAUACGAUCUAAGGCUGAAAGCAGGGGACCGCAAGGGCUUGCGCGAUUGGAGCGGCCGGUGGCGGAUUAGGUAGGUGGGGGGAUAAAAGCUUACCAAGCCGACGAUCGGUAGCUGGUCUGAGAGGACGACCAGCCACACUGGGACUGAGACACGGCCCAGACUCCUACGGGAGGCAGCAGUGGGGAAUUUUGGACAAUGGGCGAAAGCCUGAUCCAGCAAUGCCGCGUGCAGGAUGAAGGCCUUCGGGUUGUAAACUGCUUUUGUACGGAACGAAAAGGCGCUGGCUAAUACCUGGGGCACAUGACGGUACCGUAAGAAUAAGCACCGGCUAACUACGUG
RNAcentral lists this ribosomal RNA (482 nucleotides) under uncultured bacterium. Its description in RNAcentral is "partial 16S ribosomal RNA". It matches the Rfam family "Bacterial small subunit ribosomal RNA", at positions 29 to 507 of the family's 1533-position model. The record is from RNAcentral.